UACGGAGGGGGCUAGCGUUGUUCGGAAUUACUGGGCGUAAAGCGCGCGUAGGCGGACCUGCAAGUCGGGGGUGAAAGCCCGAGGCUCAACCUCGGAACUGCCUUCGAUACUGCGGGUCUCGAGUCCGGGAGAGGUGAGUGGAAUUCCUAGUGUAGAGGUGAAAUUCGUAGAUAUUAGGAAGAACACCAGUGGCGAAGGCGGCUCACUGGCCCGGAACUGACGCUGAGGCGCGAAAGCGUGGGGAGCAAACAGG
Molecule: ribosomal RNA, 253 nt
Filed under: uncultured bacterium
Lineage: Bacteria
Description: partial 16S ribosomal RNA
Rfam family: Bacterial small subunit ribosomal RNA
Source: RNAcentral